Molecule: small nuclear RNA, 18 nt
Filed under: Arabidopsis thaliana (thale cress)
Lineage: Eukaryota; Viridiplantae; Streptophyta; Magnoliopsida; Brassicales; Brassicaceae
Description: snRNA_16496
Source: RNAcentral
UGAGAAGCAAGAGCUGCC